RNAcentral lists this long non-coding RNA (330 nucleotides) under Elaeis guineensis (African oil palm). Its description in RNAcentral is "long non-coding RNA (EGUI_LNC030601)". Lineage: Eukaryota; Viridiplantae; Streptophyta; Magnoliopsida; Arecales; Arecaceae. The record is from RNAcentral.
CUAGGCCACACCCUGCGCGCACCCAACCCGCAUGCUGGCCGCACUUGGGCCGUGCACUGUCGCCGCUCCGCCGGCCCGCCGCUGGCCGUCAGCAGUCCACCACCUUUCCGAGUUUCAUGCUGACUUCAAAAGGUCGAUCUCCUCCAUCCGAGCUCCAUUUAAUGUGAUCUUGAUCUCAUUGGACUUUAUUUUUUAUCGCGAACCUCAUUGUGGGCUCAAUAUAGAUCGAAUCUCGAGAUAUCAAAUUCUAAUAAAAAAGUUAGAUAUAUAUUUUAAAAGAUUGCCAAAAAGAUAGUUCUAGUACUGGAUGCCAAAAAUAAAGUGAGAGAG